This 284-nucleotide ribosomal RNA is filed under the name uncultured bacterium. RNAcentral's name for it is "partial 16S ribosomal RNA". It matches the Rfam family "Bacterial small subunit ribosomal RNA", at positions 776 to 1058 of the family's 1533-position model. The record is from RNAcentral.
CUUUAGAUACCCGGGUAGUCCACGCCGUAAACGAUGAUCACUAAGUGUGGGGGGUCGAACCUCCGUGCUCAAGCUAACGCGAUAAGUGAUCCGCCUGGGGAGUACGCACGCAAGUGUGAAACUCAAAGGAAUUGACGGGGACCCGCACAAGCGGUGGAGCAUGUGGUUUAAUUCGACGCAACGCGAGGAACCUUACCAGCCCUUGACAUCCUCAGAACUUAGCAGAGAUGCUUUGGUGCCACUUCGGUGGAACUGAGUGACAGGUGGUGCAUGGCCGCCGUCAG